GGAAGGCUAAGGAUGCGCCGGUUCUGGAGAGUGGAGAAAAACGCCUUCUCCUUUACCCCUCCAGGCACCUUAUUUUUUUAAAAAAAAAAAACAACAACCUUUUAUUUAAAAGUCUAACCUUGGGAGUUUGCUGGGCCUCUAAUUAAACAAGCUGAACACUGUUCCGCCACACACAGCGUGAACACUGCAAGGUAAAUAAAACUGUGCUAGAGGAGAAGAAAACCUUGCAGAAUUCAUUUCUGUUGUGAUCUCUGGAGAGAGGAGGCCGAGUGGACUAUGAACUGGGAGAACUUGGUGGAUAUUCUCCAGGAUCCUGAUGCUUCUGCUCACUGGUGACACCUGCCCCUUCUGCUCAUAUUUCCUGAGUCAACAUGACCACGCCUAACUUUGAAGUGACUGUAGGCAUUCUAUGUUGCAGUGAGACUAAAAGAAAGAAGAGAAAUAAUAACUGCCGUGGAAGGACGGUCCCCUUGCCAACUGGCACUUAUCAAAGGACGUUGAGGGAGAGGGACAGAGUGCCUAGAUAUGAGCCUUCAUCAAGCCUUAUGAAGACCCUUCUCCAACAGGAAGCGCUCAGAUGAAGAAAUGAUGCAUCCGAUAGGAUUUUUCCUCCAAGUAUUCACUAAAAAAUGCUCCCAAACCUUGGCGACUCAGUAAUUUUAUGAGUAGAAGAAGUGACAUGGAGAAAGAAGGAAACAAAAAUUUAGGGCAAGAAGUCAAUUUAGAGAGAAGGUCCUGCCAUGGUUAUUCAGCCCAGUGGCAGACACAGAUAAUGCCAGACAUUUGCUCUGUCUGCAACCCAAGGAGAGCUGGACAUGACAGGAACUUGUGGACGGGUGGCAUCUUUAUCAAGAUGUCAGUGCUCUAAGCCAAAGGAGGAAAGAGAAAGAACACUGGAAUGUGGGGAACUGAUCACUGUAGCUACGAACGGAAAGAGACAACAUAGGCUUGGGAGGUUGAAUAUACACGGCCCAGGGGAAUCUUUCCGAGAGAAAUGAUCCAGCUGUGCCGCUCAAUAAACACCUGUUAAAUAUGGCUGUGCCAGAGAACCUAAAAGUUACAUGAGUCUCUGAAACAAAGGAACCAACAAAAUUGCCUGAUGGAAAAAUUGCACGCGUGUCACCUCUGAGGGCUGUAGUAGAAAGUUCUACCCUGCUCCUCCAUUGGCUCUUCUCCCCACCUAGGAUCUCCUGAACCUGAUCAAUUUGGGCCUGUGGAGAGGCAGCAGAGCAUGGUGGGAGUGUGGAGCAGAGCAGCGCCCUUGCCUCAUAGCCAGGAUGCCAAGGGGAAGAAAGGAAGGGUGCUGGAGUCUCACAACUCCCAACCUCUUUCAAGGUCACCUCCUUAAAAACCUACCGAUCUUCUACUAGGCCGGUCUCCUAAGUCUCCAAUGGUACCACCCUAAGAGCCAAGCCUAUAAUACAUAAGCCUUUGGAGACAGUCCACUAAGCUUCAGCCUCAGCAGAAGUCCACUAAGCUUCAGCCUCAGCAGUAACUGGCUGCUGGAUCAUUUGUCACUGGCCCCUAGAAUGAGACGAACUGAUGCCAUAGGGCAUAGACUUUGAAGAUAUGAUGGAAGGAGCCUGAGACUGUGCUGGAUUUCCUGGAUGUAGCAUGGAGUCAAAACACAUUUUCUGCUGAUAUAGGAAAGCAUCCAGCUUCUUGAACUUUUUCUACUUGGGACUACGUUUUUACCAAAUAAAUUUUUAUAUGUCUCCGGGUUUACCUGUCUAUGAAGAUGAAGCCUGAGGUGGGUCCUGCCCCUGCCUCCCUGUGCUGGCUAGUUUUAUGUCAACUAGACACAAGCUGGAGUCAUUUUGGAAGAAGAAAUUUUAGUUGAGGAAAAUGCCCUCACCGAGGGGACAAGCCUGUGUUGCAUUUUUUGGAUAGAUGAUCACCAUGGGAGAGUCCAUCCCAUUGUGGGUUGUGCCUGCCAUCCCUGGAUGGGUGGUCCUAGGUACUAUAAGAAAGCAGGCAGAGCAAGGCAUGGUGGGCCAGCCUUACUUGCCUCUGUAUCAACUCCUGCCUCCUAGUUCCUGCCUUACUUUCUGCCCUGAUCUCCCCGAAUGAUGGACUGCACGCUGUAAGAUGAAAUAAAGUC
Microtus oregoni (creeping vole) is the source of this 2101-nucleotide long non-coding RNA. RefSeq lists it as uncharacterized. Lineage: Eukaryota; Metazoa; Chordata; Mammalia; Rodentia; Cricetidae. The transcript is spliced from 9 exons. The record is from RefSeq and is a predicted model, not a curated record.